This 224-nucleotide long non-coding RNA is filed under the name Bos taurus (domestic cattle). Its description in RNAcentral is "long non-coding RNA NONBTAT012225". The record is from RNAcentral. Lineage: Eukaryota; Metazoa; Chordata; Mammalia; Artiodactyla; Bovidae.
GAAAGUUUUUCUUUUUUUCCCCUUUCCUCCUACUGAAUAACAAAAUUGAGACAGACAAGCUUUUUCUUUUGUUUUUCUGAACAACAGGUUUAUUUCUCAUUCACCCUUAUGCUGAUGUUAUAACCCUGCUUUUUGUAGGAGUUCCCCCUUAGAGUCUCCCAACCCUGAGCAAAGCCUGGACUUUGUCUCCUUUCUUCAUCAUCCCACGCGCUAUGAAAUGGCCC